RNAcentral lists this ribosomal RNA (501 nucleotides) under uncultured bacterium. Its description in RNAcentral is "bacterial SSU rRNA". It matches the Rfam family "Bacterial small subunit ribosomal RNA", at positions 8 to 507 of the family's 1533-position model. The record is from RNAcentral.
AGAGUUUGAUCCUGGCUCAGAUUGAACGCUGGCGGAAUGCCUUACACAUGCAAGUCGAACGGCAGCACGGGGCAACCUGGUGGCGAGUGGCGAACGGGUGAGUAAUAUAUCGGAACGUGCCCAAUCGUGGGGGAUAACGUAGCGAAAGUUACGCUAAUACCGCAUACGAUCUACGGAUGAAAGCGGGGAUCGCAAGACCUCGCGCGAAUGGAGCGGCCGAUAUCAGAUUAGGUAGUUGGUGGGGUAAAGGCUCACCAAGCCAACGAUCUGUAGCUGGUCUGAGAGGACGACCAGCCACACUGGAACUGAGACACGGUCCAGACUCCUACGGGAGGCAGCAGUGGGGAAUUUUGGACAAUGGGCGCAAGCCUGAUCCAGCCAUUCCGCGUGCAGGAUGAAGGCCUUCGGGUUGUAAACUGCUUUUGUACGGAACGAAACGGUCUGCCCUAAUACGGCAGGCUAAUGACGGUACCGUAAGAAUAAGCACCGGCUAACUACGUG